This 496-nucleotide ribosomal RNA is filed under the name uncultured bacterium. RNAcentral's name for it is "partial 16S ribosomal RNA". It matches the Rfam family "Bacterial small subunit ribosomal RNA", at positions 28 to 506 of the family's 1533-position model. The record is from RNAcentral.
GAUGAACGCUGGCGGCGUGCCUAAUACAUGCAAGUCGAGCGAACAGACGAGGAGCUUGCUCCUCUGACGUUAGCGGCGGACGGGUGAGUAACACGUGGAUAACCUACCUAUAAGACUGGGAUAACUUCGGGAAACCGGAGCUAAUACCGGAUAACAUGUUGAACCGCAUGGUUCAACAGUGAAAGACGGUUUUGCUGUCACUUAUAGAUGGAUCCGCGCCGCAUUCGCUAGUUGGUAAGGUAACGGCUUACCAAGGCAACGAUGCGUAGCCGACCUGAGAGGGUGAUCGACCACACUUGAACUGAGACACGGUCCAGACUCCGACGUGAGGCAGCAGUAGGGAAUCUUCCGCAGGGGGCGAAAGCCUGACUGAGCAACGCCGCGUGAGUGAAGAAGGUCAUCGGAUCGUAAAACUCUGUUAUUAGGGAAUAACAAAGGUGUAAGUAACUAUGCACGUCUGGACGGUACCUAAGCAGAAAGCCACGGCUAACUACGU